AUUGAACGCUGGCGGCAGGCCUAACACAUGCAAGUCGAGCGGUAACAGGACUAGCUUGCUAGUUGCUGACGAGCGGCGGACGGGUGCGUAACACGUAGGAAUCUGCCCGGUAGUGGGGAUAGCCCGGAGAAAUCCGGAUUAAUACCGCAUACGCCCUAAGGGGGAAAGAUGGCCUCUUCUUGAAAGCUAUCACUAUCGGAUGAGCCUGCGUCGGAUUAGCUGGUUGGUGGGGUAAAGGCCUACCAAGGCGACGA
Molecule: ribosomal RNA, 254 nt
Filed under: uncultured bacterium
Lineage: Bacteria
Description: partial 16S ribosomal RNA
Rfam family: Bacterial small subunit ribosomal RNA
Source: RNAcentral